UCCCCCACGAAGAGCAGAGGUGGCCGUCCACGCCCCUUGCAGGCCGUAGCAUCCCCGCGGGAAGGAGGCACGGCCAUGGCGGCAAGGGAUGAACCGAUGCAGAAAUCGGCAGUUGGAGCUCUGCCACGUCCCUCCCUCUCCCAGUUUUCACGCCCACCAUGGAGGUCCACACAAGGAAGCGGAGGAAAGAUGCGGGGGAUCGGUUCAUCUGGGCUGCAGCUCGAUCCACCAAUAGCCAGGUCCCCCACCUUCUCUCUGGAUUCCCUUCUUUGUGCAGCAGAUCUCCAGUGCUUCCCUCAAGGUUUAGUUUUUUGCUUAUUUUGCAGCAGGAUGUGAUGGUUCUCAUAAACCGAUUUUUCUUGUUGUAGUGGAUCGACAACAGAUAUGCCUUCAUCUCCCUCUUGGACCUCGGUUUUUUCAUCUUCCCUUGGGCUGUUAGAUUGUGUUAUGGUAUUGGGGUGUUAGGUAGAGUCACAGAUAUGAGAUAUAUAAUUCUUUGUGGAGCUAAUUUCUUGGCUCAUUGUGGUUUCUAUGUAGAUUAUUUAUUUGCUUACUCUGCGUAUUUGUAUGUAUCUUUUCGCUAACUGAAUUCGAUUUCAAGAAGCAGCCCAGAGGUAUACGUAUUUUUAAUUUUUCUAUUGGCACCUAAAUCUCUAGGCAAAUCAUUUAGUACGAAUUAUCUGAUGCUAUUUUCUUCUUUCAUAAAUAUAACACUUAACUGCAUGUUUUAUUUCUUAUAUUGUAGUAUAAAUAGCCUAAUUGCCUAUACCAGCUUUACAUAUAAAUAUGCACUGAAACAAGUAUUUUUUUCCAAUUACAUUAUAGAUAUUAAUUGAAAUUGUGUAUGGAGGAAGAUUCAGUGUUCAUCCCUAGAGAUAUAAUCCUUCAUUUUCUGUUCUCUUGAUUUCAUGGAUGCUGUUGCAAGAUGACCAUCGACUGUAAGAUGGGAUACAUGAAUAUUCAUCGGUUUUUUGGGAUCCAAGUAAAAUCCACUCUCGUGUUUUGUUGGCCUCUUAGGACCAUGAUUUGUGUUUCUGGUUUCUUAUCUUCGUUCUAAUGUAGGGUUAACCAGCUUUGGAAAACUUUGUGAAUUUUUCAUGUUAAUUGUAUGGUAUUAUUAUCUGGUAUAUCAUGUUUCAAACAACAUUGUUGGUCUUUUGUAUAUUUUUGAUGAAUUUCUCGCACUGUCAGUUCAACCUUUGUAUAUUUAGUUAGUGCUUCUGUGUUCUUCUGGUAACGGUGGGCUUAUAUUCUGUAGUAAGAGAAAGUACAAAAAUUAAAGGCGAUUCUUACUUGAAAUUUGUUGAUCAGUAAUUAUGCUUACUUUCUACAGGCUACCAAUUGUCGUGUUUCUAAAAAUUAUUCCACUGUUGCUUGUGCAGGUACAUCUGAAUGAAUUAUGGUAUUGUUUAAUAUCUAUCAUUUACGUUCCAAGGUUUUCACGUGUGUCCCAGAAAAAUCCUGAAGAGAAUUUAAGGGUACAACUAAUUUAUCGCUGGGUUUUAUGUUGGUGCAUCGAUUCUAUCUUGUUUUGCUGCCUCGCUGAUAAGUACCAUGGCAUCAUUGGAUGGACUUGCAGCUUCAUGGAGGCGGCCACCGGUCUUUCUAAUGGCGAAGAAGAGGAAGGGGCAGGUCCUCGCGAUGCCAUAUUAGGGCCCAAGCCCAGGUGCAUCGCUCAAGUGAUUCUCCAGGGAAGAACAGAUGAAACCAUGCAUGAGGAGACCAACGCGUAGGAACAUGCCCUCAUAGCAUGCUUCGUUUCUUUCUUAGUCCCAGGAUUGGGGGCAGUGGCCAUGCUUGCGGCCUUCCCGUUGCGGUCCCUAGGACGAGGUCACCUAAGGCAACUUCCAGUGCGGAGCACGCUGCGAGUGGUGGCGAUGAUUUUGCAGAGCUUUGGCUCAAGCCAUCGCAUCUCUGUUUGGUGGUGUCCUUUCUUCAAGAAGUUAGCAGUGCGGAGCAUGCUGCAAGUGGUGGCGGAGAUUUUGCACAUCUUUUGCUCAAGGCAUGGCAUCUGUGUUUGGUGGUGUCCUUUCUUCAAGCAGCUAGCUCCAUGACCACUUCUAUUGUUAGAGGUGCAUGGACUAUGAUGACCUCUGAAAAGGCAUUCUCUACCUUGCAAGAAUUCUAAUGUGGAUUAUUGUACAAAAAUUAAAAAUUACCAUGCUUUACU
Lolium perenne is the source of this 2170-nucleotide long non-coding RNA. RefSeq lists it as uncharacterized. NCBI's taxonomy places the organism in Eukaryota, Viridiplantae, Streptophyta, Magnoliopsida, Poales, Poaceae. The record is from RefSeq and is a predicted model, not a curated record.